This 610-nucleotide unclassified non-coding RNA is filed under the name Hevea brasiliensis (rubber tree). The record is from RNAcentral. Lineage: Eukaryota; Viridiplantae; Streptophyta; Magnoliopsida; Malpighiales; Euphorbiaceae.
GAAAGUUUCCUCCACCACCACUCCAGACCACCCACUCACUCUCUUCUCUUUCUUUUCUCUCUCCAUGCGGAGCUGAGAGAAAAUCAAAAGCAAAUCAAACCUCCAUUAUGAUUUCUUCCUCCUUUUUUGCUGUCAACAAAAUCUAGGGUUUCUGCCGUGGAGUUUGAAGAAAGUUUCCUCAUCUCUGUUGUCUGUUUCUUCCAGUUCCCUCAAGUAGUAGAAGAAGAUCACCAUGGAUUCGGUAGGAAAUCUUGAUGAAAAAAUUGGUCUGCUUAUGCAGUGCAAACCCUUGUCCGAGCAGGCGGUAAGAGGACUGUGCGAGAAAGCCAAGGAGAUUCUAGUGCAAGAGAGUAAUGUGCAGCCUGUGAAAAGCCCUGUGACGAUAUGUGGUGAUAUUCAUGGGCAGUUCCAUGAUCUUGCUGAGCUUUUUCGAAUUGGUGGGAAGUGUCCUGACACUAAUUAUUUAUUCAUGGGAGAUUAUGUGGAUCGUGGAUACUAUUCUGUCGAAACAGUCUCGCUUUUGGUGGCUCUCAAAGUUCGCUAUCCCCAACGAAUUACAAUCCUAAGGGGAAAUCAUGAGAGUCGUCAGAUUACUCAGGUUUAUGGGUUU